AGCGAACGCUGGCGGUAGGCCUAACACAUGCAAGUCGAACGGCAGCACAGUAAGAGCUUGCUCUUACGGGUGGCGAGUGGCGGACGGGUGAGGGAUACAUCGGAAUCUACUUUUUCGUGGGGGAUAACGUAGGGAAACUUACGCUAAUACCGCAUACGACCUACGGGUGAAAGCAGGGGAUAUUCGGACCUUGCGCGAUUGAAUGAGCCGAUGUCGGAUUAGCUAGUUGGCGGGGUAAAGGCCCACCAAGGCGACGAUCCGUAGCUGGUCUGAGAGGAUGAUCAGCCACACUGGAACUGAGACACGGUCCAUACUCCUACGGGAGGCAGCAGUGUGGAAUAUUGGACAAUGGGCGCAAGCCUUAUCCAGCCAUACCGCGUGUGUGAAGAAGGCCUUCGGGUUGUAAAGCCCGUUUUUUGGGAAAGAAAAGCAGCAGGUUAAUACCCCGCUGUUCUGACGGUACCCAAAGAAGAAGCACCGGCUAACUUCGUG
RNAcentral lists this ribosomal RNA (492 nucleotides) under uncultured bacterium. RNAcentral's name for it is "partial 16S ribosomal RNA". It matches the Rfam family "Bacterial small subunit ribosomal RNA", at positions 29 to 507 of the family's 1533-position model. The record is from RNAcentral.